UUGCGCCUCGUCCAGCUGUUUUUUUUUUUUUUUUUUAAGAGUCUCGCCCAGGAACGCCUCGUUUAAAAAUAACGUAAUUUUUUUUAAGAGACGCAGGUGUCUCUUAAAGCUAUCUUUUUAUGAUCUAAAGGGCCCUUUAAAAGCACUUGAACUUUUCUUUUUGAAAAGUGCAUCUCGAGCCGUGCGUUCUGUUCUAUUCGUUUCGGUGUGUCAGCUUUUCUAGUGCAAAAACGCGUGUGAUCUGAACGGCGACCCCAUAGCCUAUACGAAAGAGGUUGAAAUGCCAGAGAAUACAUGUGCAAUUAACAUUACAUAGUUUGUUAAAGGAGACAAUGACUCCCGGAGGAGAUUUUGAUGCAUGUGUAUGGAUUUCUCUCCAAUCCUGUCAAAUUGAGUGUUCCUUCAAGCUGCAAAUACUUGACCGACCUUUGGUCCUUAUGGAAAAACAAGAUUGUUGUCCACAAAAAGAUCGGACCAUACGAGUUGCAUUUCUGGAGAACUCUUGGUAAAAGGAAAGUGAAGUUCUUUGUGGUUUUUUAAAUUUUUUUAUUUUAUCCCCUUUUCUCCCAAUUUGGAAUGCCCAAUUCCCACCACUUAGUAGGUCCUCGUGGUGGCGCGGUUACUCACCUCAAUCCGGGUGGCGGAGGACAAGUCUCAGUUACCUCUGCUUCUGAGACAGUCAAUCCACGCAUCUUAUCACGUGGCUUGCUGCGCAUGACGCCGCGGAGACUUGCAGCAUGUGGAGGCUCAUGCUACUCUCCGCGAUCCACGCACAACUUACCCAUUGAGAACGAGAACCACUAAUCAUGACCAUGAGGAGGUUACCCCAUGUGACUCUACCCUCCCUAGCAACCAGGCCAAUUUGGUUGCUUAGGAGACCUGGCUGGAGUCACUCAGCACGCCUUGGAUUCGAACUCGUGACUCCAGGGGUGGUAGUCAGCGUCAGUACUCGCUGAGCUACCCAGCCCCAACGAAGUUCAUUGAUAUCCAGAAGGCAAAUGUAAAAGAGUUGCAGAAACUUGUGACUUGGCUGCUGUGGAUUUGUUGUGUUACUCUGGUUAAGUGUUGUGAUGCCACAGCCCUGGCGACACUGGGCUCUUAACAUCUCAUGAGGCUUGUUAUCCAUCAAUGUCGCUGUCCGAGUCUGACUAGCUCACUUUCAUCUUUGAAACAGCUUACGCAUCUCUGCUGUGAGUUCCAGUGAGCCUCAGUAUCGGCAAUAAGUGGUGCCAUUUCACAACUCGUCAAUCUGACCACACUAUACUACCACGAGGAUAAAAAUCCCAUCCCUAAAACUGUUCUCCAUUGCAUGUUCAGAUGUUUGCCUAGCUUAAAACAUCUUUCCAUAAGAAUGGGACCAAAGUACGGGAUCCUUCCUGAUGAUUAGUUUUGUCUCAGCAAAAAAUGCCAAAGUCAGGAAAUGGGUGCAGUGGUCUGCCUGACCAGCCUAGAGCUGCUGAACUAUGAAGACCCUUGUCUUUUGUGGACUGUCCUCCUUGACAAAACUGACUGUGCAUUAUAAAGGAUGGCACCAUGAUGUUCCAGCGUCAGUGUUUGUUGGACUUCAGCACCUACCUCGACUUAAGCAGUUAGUGAUUUUGGAUGCACUUCAAAGCCCUAGUCCUACUGUCUUAAAUCUGACUCAAAAAUGUCACGUCCAAACAAACAACAAAAUCCGAGGGCUUCAUUCCUCAGGACCAAUGGACCAAACCACAUGCACUUGUGGCUUUUAUUGAUAAAUGUGUUUGUUUACACAUAUGUUGAACAAUGUAUUUGAUGGACCUUCAUAUUGUCCUGUGACGCUUUACAGAACAUUGUGUCUUACAGAUAGGUGAUGUUUUAAUGUGGUGAAUACAUACGUUGAAAAUGGAAAGAAUUUGGAAACAAUGGAGGACCAUUUACCGUUAACAUUUUAUAGGCAUACGUAUAUAAACUUUAUUUAAAAAUGUAUUGUAAAAGGCUUAAAUGAGAAACAUGAUUAUGUGAUGCCGAAUCCACACAUUUUGUCUAUGAUUCUAUAUGCCAUCCGUAUUCCCUUGGUGCAAGAUUUAAAAACUGCUAUAUAGGUUUAAAAAUUAUAUAUUCAAUCAUGCGCUAUUUGUAAUUCUUCAAUAAAAGUCAUGAAAUUAAAUUCGGAGGACUACAUCAUAUUCCCCAGCUUUAACAUCCAGACACCUCCACUAGGUGGCAAGCUAUUCACACACGAGUAUAAUAAAUCAGUAAAUGCAUUCAAUCUCUAAAUGCAUGUUAUAGUUAAUACACAUCAUGACUUAGAAAUGCAGAUCAUAACUGUAUUUUACCAAGUAUUUAAGAUGUACAAGAAAAUCGUAUAUACAUUUUAGUACAUUAAAUUAGAUUGCCUUAAAAUGCUUUUAAAGGGAAAGCACCGGUUUUUUUUUUUACGUGAAGAUAAUUACAUUAACAACAAGCAUGCUGUUCAUUGCGAUUUCUCACAUUUUCAGACAAAAAUAUUUAUACAUAAAUAACAUUUCAAAAUUGAAACUGUUUAC
Myxocyprinus asiaticus (Chinese sucker) is the source of this 2510-nucleotide long non-coding RNA. RefSeq lists it as uncharacterized. NCBI's taxonomy places the organism in Eukaryota, Metazoa, Chordata, Actinopteri, Cypriniformes, Catostomidae. The transcript is spliced from 3 exons. The record is from RefSeq and is a predicted model, not a curated record.